Molecule: long non-coding RNA, 2136 nt
Organism: Gasterosteus aculeatus aculeatus (three-spined stickleback)
Lineage: Eukaryota; Metazoa; Chordata; Actinopteri; Perciformes; Gasterosteidae
Source: Ensembl
CGUGCCCCCGGGCCGCGCUCUUCAUCCAGACGCACUCGCCCCACACGGCUGGAGGGCCCGAAUAAUUCCUGCCCCUGUAACCCCCCCCUUCCCCUUCCCCCGCCUCCCUCCUUGAUUAGGACUGAGAGACGCUGGCCUACUUAGCCGUAAUGAGCUGGCCGCGUGGGUGGUGAGCUAACGCGGCCGGACACGUGGGCAACUCAAUCGGGGUGGGGGGGGGAACCCCGGCGAACCUGAGUGGCGCUUGAUGGCGUAUGGAUGGGCUUUCAGCUAAUCCCCCUUUUGAGAGGUCUGACAGUGAGUGAAUGGGAGGAGAUUCGGGGCCCGGAGGCACAUCCAAGGGCAACAAGGAGGCUCCCAGAGGGGCUUUUGUGAUUAGCUCUGGACUCUGCUGCCCAUCGUGGUGUGAACGUGUCCAAUGCUGCCCCGGCAAUACACCGGUAAACACGUCACCGGUUCAUUUGACUGGAUAUCAAAAGUCUUUUUAGACACCUUUGUUCGUCUGCUGGAUGUCUAAUACACCACUUACUUUGAAUAUUUAGUGUCUGCGCAGGCUGUUAAGGAUUCUACAAAUAAAACUAAAUGAAUUCACUGUGUCCUCUGGUACACACCAAUGCACCUGAUCUUUCACGUAGAAAUGUGUUUACGGGCGCAGAGCUGUGGAGAGAUUUUAGAAUAUGUCAUUAAAAAGACCUGAAUGUCCGUGGCCCUGUGUGGUUGUAGUUAGUUUCAUUUCCUUUGAAGCCGCAUUGAAUGUUUGUGGCUGCCGCUCGCACUCACCAGCACUUGUUGAAUCCGAGCAAAGGCGCCGCCCAUUAGCGUUUUUGCGGCGGUAAUAAAACUCCUGUGCAUAAUGAAUCCCUCCGUGCUCUGAGCAAGUGUCAAGGCGCAAAGCAGAUGCAGGUUAAUUUAAAGUACGCUCCCAAAAAGAAGAGCGAGGUAAAGAUUGGUUCGUCUUUGCUUUAGAGCUGAUUGUAAACUUAAAUGAGUCAAGGUGAACGUUCGUCACUAUUCUCUGUAAAGAAUGAAAUAAAAGCUCUGCUCACAUCAUCGUCCCUGCAUCCAAUUAACGCCGUCACACCUCUGUAACGUUUCCUCUUUCCGUCCACCUAAUUUGUUCUGUCUACAGUCUAUUUAUGUUUGCAGCACGACUCCUCCUCUCUCCUUCUAACCGCGAUUCCGCCUCUUCGGGCGCUCGUGCAGGUUUUAUGUAAAUCGCCCGCUGAUGAAAAGAAUCUUUCCCUCUGAAAUGACAAAAACCGCCGUGAUAUCAUCCUUUUGUCUGUGGAUUUGCUUUAUUCUGAUCCUCCACGUCUUGACCCAAUCAAACCUCACGACUUCCUCGUUCGUUUUCGCGGGCCAAUGUUUCUUCCAGAGGUAAAGUAACAACAGCCUCUCCGGGCCGAAACUGUACAUGCUCGGCAAAAAAAUAAAAAUAAAAGUGCCGCGUCACCCCCGAGGCUCCUCUUUGUCAUUCUCUCCCUCCCUCUCUCUCUCUCUGAUGUACAACACAGACAACACCACACAUAAAGAACCCCUCUUAUCUUAUUUGAGCAGUUGCUUAAAGUAUUUCUACAAACUCCGAGGGGCUGGAAUUAUAAAUCACGGGCGAAACAAGAUGGCAAUCAGCGAGGAGCCGUCGCAGAGAAGACUAAUGAAACCACCCAGCCGGGUAAAUGACCUGGAGAUCUGGUGCGAUACCGACUCCCCACAGUCACCGGGACGUGAUACACUGGAUGUCUCUCUCUCUCUCUCUCUCUCUCUCCCCCCCUGUGAUGUGCCGAGGCCGCGAUAAGGCCACGAAGGCAAACCAACGGGGCUCCCAUCUGUUUGUUCCAUUACGGUGACGCGAGCUCAUUUCGGUGUUUUCCGGUGUUCCACCACAGAGGACAGGAGCCGCUCGCGCGUUGGUUUGGGAGCUGGCAUCCCCCCCCCACGGUAAUUCACGUUUAAAAGUAAAUACGCGCUACAACCUUUUUCUUUGGAAUAAAUCAGCGUGUUACUGGGGUUGCGCAGCGCUUCCGAAGGAACUCAAAUUGAUCAAAGGAGAGAGUUUGUUUGAAGAAUGAAGCGUUCAGCAUAUUUUAGGUUAACAAGAGACGGGUUUCCCUCCGCAGCAGUUGGCUAGCGUCACCC